GUCGCAGCCCGGGGGCUGGGGAGGAGACGCGUGGAGGGUGCGGAGAGAUGGGGUACGGAUCCAAGACUCGGACGGUACCGGGUACGACACGAGAGGCCGGAAAAGGCGCGGGGAGGGGCCGGCCGGUGUCAGGUCCGGGAUCACCCACCCAGAUCCAAAGCGCCGCCGCCCCUUCCCGCCUCCCGCCGCCCCUUCUCUUCUCCGACAAGGGAGUCCCGCCGGCGCCAGGACGAGGGACUUCGGGCUUUUCGCGCCACCCGGGAAGCCCGCAGGGACCGCGCCGAGGCUUCCGACCCCGCCGGGCUUCAGCGCCCCUUCCGGAGACUGGUCGUCAGCGGCCGGGGCGGGCCUGCGUGGGAAACGCAGCGCGGAGUGGCCCGGCCGCAUCCCCACUCGCGAGGGCGGCAGGGGCGAAGGGGGCCCGCGAGGGAAGAGCGGAGCCAGGCUGCCAACGGAGGAGGGGUGUACUGCAGCGGCUGGAGGCGGGAAGGUAGAACAGCGAUCGCGCGAAAUCCCCUCCGAAAGAACCAGCUAACCGGAGGAUCGACCUCUCCUCCCUCCUCCCGUCAGGAUGUUCUCUGCUUCUCCGGUUCUGAUCCUUCCCAAACUGCGCCCCUGACCUUUAGGAUGAGCAGGAACCUCCCAUGUUUUCAGCUCAAAACAGAGAGGGGAAGAUUCUGGAAGUGUGGGACUCCUCCGGGGGACACUGGGGCCUGAGCGAGCCAAGACCUCUUUCCCUUCUUGCAGGAAGGGGACCUCAGCUCUGGGCUGGAGGCUGGAGGGAAGACUGGCCUCAGCAAGGCUCCCUCCAGCCUCCAGCCCACUCCCCAGCCCUGGCUCAGGCUCAGCAGGGCACUACUGGUUCACCCACCCUGUGCGGCGAACGGGAGCCUAAGUCAUAUGCAGCAGCUGGCAGCAGAUCCCAGAUUCGGGGUGCCUCCAGGAGCAUGGAGAGCAGUCGGUGGGCUCCUCGGAGCUGCUGCCCCACCAGGGAGCCGACGCCACCCUGCACUCCCCUAAGUGACUCGAAGCAGAGACACCUGGAGCUGGAAUAGGGUUAACACAGGCCUCUCCUGUGACCUUGGAGCCUUGAAUGCUAGGUGGUCCCUGGGUGGGUGCCGUCCAAGGGACCACUGUUGAUCCCCAGGCCUGCCCAGGUUGUCUUACUGUGAGUGUGCCCAACCUAGGACAAAGCCAAGCUGGUUAGAGCCAAGCGAAUGGCCAGUGGGUUAAGCUGGUGCGUCCCUCAAGGACAGAACAUGCUGGAAUAACAGGGCCCUGAGGCUCCCUACUAGAAUGGUCACAGGGUGUUCCCCAGCAUUUCCCUCUGCGGGCUUAGCUUCCACAGGGUCUCCAGGCCCUUACCUCAGGGGAAGGCUUCCAGGUGCCAAUACUUCACAGACACACACCCUGGAAUAGGGAGCACCGAGCCAGUGGGAGAGGAGAGGAGACAGGCAGGGAUAGAGUAUCCACUCGCUCCACUGUUCCCUCUUGUCCCCUCCCAGGUGCCCUGCAGUUCAGAAUACACAGGAGGACCCUGUUCCUCCAGGACAGGUGCAAAAAAAGAAACUUCCCUAAACACUCUCACAGAGCGCUGUAAGCAGAAGAAGAGGAAAACUCUCCCCCCUCCAGCACCAUGAGACCAACCUUUCAGCCACUGCUGUAUUUUUGUUGAGAGGGAAGAGUACAGGACGCAGGUUUUUUGUUUUCCUAGUAGAGACUCCCUCAUCAAAUCAGACUUAAUUGGAAUUCCUCAAAAACCAAUGCCAAGAGAAACAUGGACGUAUUUAGCUGACUUCUGAAAAUACAUAUAUCAAAAUUCCCCCAUGUGGCUAGAUAAAGAAGGAGGCCCUUCUGCCUUUUACUGUGGCCUGAGCUCUGGGAGGUGUUCAGUUUGAAUAGAAGGUACAGACUAAGGAGAGAACACCCUCCACACGCACAAAGAAAAAGACAGCGGUCUAAACUGCCCUGACUGCGUCCACAUGGACCCCCAUUCUGUCCAUGUUCCCGUGAAGCAAUUUCUAUGUGAUUUUGACCGGGCUUGCUGGACAACCCAGCUCCCACUGCUCUGGUUCAAGGGUAUCUGUCUUGAUUCCAAUGGAGACAGGGAUAGAAGCCAAGAAGGACCCCGAGGAGAACCCGGCACCUGCAGGGGAGUUGGAAUUGGUUGAAUAUCAAGCCAUGCUGUUCCCUUUUCAGACAAGAAACUACCUGGAGGGUGGUAAACGGGACAGCCUCUGGAGGGCAGGGACAAUCUCUGACAUCUUCUUUGUCCAGGAGGAAACAAAGUAGGUAAACUACAGGCAGAAUAUGUGGAGAACACAGUGGGCCAGGAAGUGAUGGUGAAGUCUGUGUGCGCGUGCACGUGUGCAUCCGCUAGUCUGGGCUCGCCGUUUGUGGGUGUUGUGGUGGGGAGCCAGGGUAUUGAUCAGCUGUAGAUGGGUGAAGAGAGAGGAUGGGGCUCAUGUCUGUCUGUGGGGUUCUGUGUCCAUGGCCACCCGCACUCCCUUUGAGCACGGAAGACCUACUAACUGGACAGGCAGGCCUGCGGGAGGCCAGGACCCGGAGCAAAAUGGGUAGGCACCCUUUGGGUCGCCCGCCAGCCUCAGCUUCUCCAAGAAGGCCUUGGCCAGAGCACAUGGCACAGCUCGCUAGGGUCUCUCUGAGUGAUGACCUGUGGACCCCACCCGGAGUUCUCCGAGGGAAAUUCUGGGGGGCUCUGGGGAGAGUGCCCUGAGUCCCUGUGGGGAUGUGAGUCUGUGUCCCUCUCAGCCAGGAGCCUGUGGUGGGUCCCUGCUGUGCCCUCAGCACUGUGAGCUGCUCACCUAUUGUCUUUGCGGGAAGGAAGGGGACUGUGGAGAGGAAAACAUGGCCAGAAUUAUGCACUCUGGACAGAGCUUUGGGAUAAAUCUUUAUAAUUUGGGUCCCAAAACACAUUUUGGCAGUGAACUACUCUCUUGAAAUAUUCAGGUAAUUCAAUAAAAAAUAUAUUUUCUCUUUGUUUCAGUUACCAGGUUAAUUUGCCUUAAAGACGCAGAUGAAAGCCGCAUUUGAGAGAGGCUAGGUGCAGAUAUUUAUUUCUGUCUUAUGAAUGCAUCCUCAUUUUGAACAUUAUCAUACAUUAUUCUUUUGCUAUAGAAUAUUUGCAUUGUCUAUGGGAUUGGGACAAAUAAAAGUGGGA
This is a non-coding RNA of Heterocephalus glaber (naked mole-rat), 3181 nucleotides long. The record is from RefSeq and is a predicted model, not a curated record. Lineage: Eukaryota; Metazoa; Chordata; Mammalia; Rodentia; Bathyergidae.